GUGGGGAAUAUUGGACAAUGGGCGAAAGCCUGAUCCAGCCAUGCCGCGUGUGUGAAGAAGGUCUUCGGAUUGUAAAGCACUUUAAGUUGGGAGGAAGGGCAGUAAGUUAAUACCUUGCUGUUUUGACGUUACCGACAGAAUAAGCACCGGCUAACUUCGUGCCAGCAGCCGCGGUAAUACGAAGGGUGCAAGCGUUAAUCGGAAUUACUGGGCAUAAAGCGCGCGUAGGUGGUUUUGUAAGUUGGAGGUGAAAUCCCCGGGCUCAACCUGGGAACUGCCUCCAAAACUGCAUGACUAGAGUACGGUAGAGGGUAGUGGAAUUUCCUGUGUAGCGGUGAAAUGCGUAGAUAUAGGAAGGAACACCAGUGGCGAAGGCGACUACCUGGACUGAUACUGACACUGAGGUGCGAAAGCGUGGGGAGCAAACAGGAUUAGAAACCCCUGUAGUCC
This 450-nucleotide ribosomal RNA is filed under the name uncultured bacterium. RNAcentral's name for it is "partial 16S ribosomal RNA". It matches the Rfam family "Bacterial small subunit ribosomal RNA", at positions 354 to 796 of the family's 1533-position model. The record is from RNAcentral.